This is a long non-coding RNA of Amphimedon queenslandica, 229 nucleotides long. RefSeq lists it as uncharacterized. The record is from RefSeq and is a predicted model, not a curated record. NCBI's taxonomy places the organism in Eukaryota, Metazoa, Porifera, Demospongiae, Haplosclerida, Niphatidae. The transcript is spliced from 3 exons.
UUACUACUGCAGGAUUCAACUUUCUCUCUUGCCAGUUCUACUGCCUGAGUGCCUGUACUUUAAGCUGUAUUGCUCAUCUUCUAAUUCUGUUUGUGUUACUGGAACCAGCUCUUGAAGCAUGAUAUGGAUUCUUCUGAAUGUGUAGUCCUGUUAUUUAUACUGUUAGCAGCUCAAAAAUCUUUAGGAAAGUGUCUGUCAGAAGAUUCUACAAUUGUGCCUCUUGCAACAA